AAUAUAUGUACAUAUAUAUAAUGGUAUUUACUAUCUUGUUACAUAGUUAUAAUGUGAGUAAUGCUAUUAGCCUAAGACGCGGUGGUUCCUUUAAUAGCUUGUAAAUGUAGAUAAUUUUAGCUAAUAUCCACUGUUUAAUUAUGGAAAUUUAAUACGACAUAGAAGGUGAAAGAGAAAUAGCAGUUAUUUGUUAGUUAUUAUUCUAUUCUUCCAUGAGGAAUUAAUCUUUUUUGGCAUGCUACAUGUGUUUAUACUAGGAUUUUAAAAUGCCCAGGAAAGCUCGCUUCAAGAAAGGCACAAGAGUGGAGCCACCACAUCAACAGCCUCCAGCUGCACCUCUUGUGUCUUUACCAUCCGAUGACAAUGACUGGCUCAUCCCUCCGCCCCCCAGUAAUGGUGGUGUCUCCACAGCGGCUCCUCUGCAACCCUUUCGUCCGCCCAGGAGCGAACCAAGACCAGAGCCACAAGCCGCUAACGAAGAGCAAGUCAUGGAACCGUGCAAUGAAGACAUUGACCUGGAGGGGAACGAGGUAGAUUCGUUUGACGAACACAUUGACAGGAUGUUUGCUGCUUCUGAUGCUGAAAAGUGCAAAGGAUGAAACACUACUGAGUUUUGGGAUGUUGAUCUCAUUGGUAACAAAUUCUGAAGGAAUAGUCAAGCAAGCUAAAAUGAGUGUGAGGGAGGCUAUGGAGCGGUCUCUUAAUGGUAGCAAGAUCAUACUGAGGUUCAAUGAGGAACUGCAAGCAGUCGGAGAUGGAGCUGGACAUUGUCGUCACAGGAGAUGUUCCACUUUCAGGAUAGCUGUGGUAGAAUCAAGAAAAUAAUUUUGCAAAAAAUGGGGAGGUCCUGGAAAGACACAAGGGGGAGGCUGUAUAACUCGCAUUACAAACCAACAAGGACACUUGAGCAGAAUCUUGAGAAGCGCCCGAAGGAAAUUCCUAGAGAGCAUUGGAGGUGGUUCAUUGAUUAUCGUAAUGAUCCUGCAACAAAGGCGAAGUGCAAGCAAAACACGUUGAAUCAAAAGAAGCAACUUUACACACACACUGGCGGUUCUAAAAGCUUGGCUAGGACAAGGAAAGAAUAGUCACAAAAACAAGGGAGGAGAGUUGGUAGGGGAGAAGUAUGGAUCCUAAAGCACAAAAGAUCUGAUGGCAGCUAUAUACAUGAAAAAGUUUAG
Arachis ipaensis is the source of this 1178-nucleotide non-coding RNA. Lineage: Eukaryota; Viridiplantae; Streptophyta; Magnoliopsida; Fabales; Fabaceae. The record is from RefSeq and is a predicted model, not a curated record.